Molecule: ribosomal RNA, 1234 nt
Filed under: human gut metagenome
Description: bacterial LSU rRNA
Rfam family: Bacterial large subunit ribosomal RNA
Source: RNAcentral
AAACCCCCUCGCCGAAAGACUAAGGUUUCCUGAUCAACGCUAAUCGGAUCAGGGUCAGUCGGGUCCUAAGGCUCAGCCGAACGGCGAUGCCGAUGGCAGAAACGGUUAAUAUUCCGUUACUACCUUCAGGAGUGACGUGGAGACGCAGUAGUGACAGUGCCGCCAUCUGACGGAAUAGAUGGUUGAAGGGUGUAGGAGUCGAUCAUGGCAGGCAAAUCCACCAUGAGAUCCGAACCUGACAGUAUGCCGCGUCCUUCGGGACAAGGCAAUAGUGCGCGUAAGCAUGCUGCCGAGAAAAUCCGCUAAACUUAAUCCUGCAGGUACCCGUACCGCAAACGGACACACGUAGUCGGGAUGAAUAUUCUAAGGCGCUUGAGUGAUUCACGGUUAAGGAACUAGGCAAACUGACCCUGUAACUUCGGGAUAAAGGGUCCCUACCCUUUUAUGGGAGGGCGCAGAGAAUCGGUCCAGGCAACUGUUUAACAAAAACACAGGGCUGUGCCAAAUCGAAAGAUCCAGUAUACAGCCUGACACCUGCCCGGUGCUGGAAGGUUAAGAGGAGAUGUCAUCGAUAAGAGAAGCGUUGAAUUGAAGCCCCAGUAAACGGCGGCCGUAACUAUAACGGUCCUAAGGUAGCGAAAUUCCUUGUCGGGUAAGUUCCGACCUGCACGAAUGGUGUAAUGAUCUGGACGCUGUCUCAACCGUGAGCUCAGUGAAAUUGUAGUAUCGGUGAAGAUGCCGAUUACCCGCGAUGGGACGAAAAGACCCCGUGAACCUUUACUAUAGCUUAACAUUGAAUUUGGGUAAUUGAUGUGUAGGAUAGGCCGGAGACUUUGAAUCAGGUACGCCAGUAUUUGUGGAGUCGCUGUUGAAAUACGGCCCUUUGAUUAUUUGAGUUCUAACUCGUAGAUGCGAGGACACUGUUUGGUGGGUAGUUUGACUGGGGUGGUCGCCUCCAAAAGUGUAACGGAGGCUUCUAAAGGUGCCCUCACGACGAUUGGUAACCGUCGGCAGAGUGUAAUGGCAUAAGGGCGCUUGACUGGGAGACUAACAAGUCGAUCAGGUAGGAAACUAGAGCAUAGUGAUCCGGUGUUUCCGUAUGGAAGGGACAUCGCUCAAAGGAUAAAAGGUACUCCGGGGAUAACAGGCUGAUCCCUCCCAAGAGCUCAUAUCGACGGAGUGGUUUGGCACCUCGAUGUCGGCUCGUCACAUCCUGGGGCUGGAGAAGGUCCCA